RNAcentral lists this non-coding RNA (233 nucleotides) under Paucilactobacillus vaccinostercus. Its description in RNAcentral is "Lactobacillus vaccinostercus T-box sequence". It matches the Rfam family "T-box leader". From Rfam's summary of the family: Uncharged tRNA acts as the effector for transcription antitermination of genes in the T-box leader family. T-boxes are found upstream of many aminoacyl-tRNA synthetase genes and some amino acid biosynthetic genes usually in Gram-positive bacteria. Lineage: Bacteria; Bacillati; Bacillota; Bacilli; Lactobacillales; Lactobacillaceae. The record is from RNAcentral.
UAAAAAACGAUGAAAAGAUGAGUAGCAGUUAACACCUUUUUAGAGAGCCUCUGGUUGGUGAAAAGGGGUAAGGUUGGUGAUUGUGAAUAUGGUCUUGAAGUGAGGAAUGUUGAGCGUAUGCGAGGCAUUCAUGGGGACGCCCAUUACCGCGUGCGAGUAUGAUUGUACUCAGCGAGGGAGUGUAUGUGAAUACAUUCUAAAUUAAGGUGGUAACACGAGAGAUCGUCCUUACU